Molecule: ribosomal RNA, 632 nt
Filed under: uncultured bacterium
Lineage: Bacteria
Description: bacterial SSU rRNA
Rfam family: Bacterial small subunit ribosomal RNA (bases 1-535)
Source: RNAcentral
CCUACGGGAGGCAGCAGUAAGGAAUAUUGGGCAAUGGAGGCAACUCUGACCCAGCCAUGCCGCGUGAAGGAUGAAGGCCCUAUGGGUUGUAAACUUCUUUUGUACGGGAAUAAACCUGGUUACGUGUAACCAGUUGAAUGUACCGUAAGAAUAAGCACCGGCUAACUCCGUGCCAGCAGCCGCGGUAAUACGGAGGGUGCAAGCGUUAUCCGGAUUUAUUGGGUUUAAAGGGAGCGUAGGCGGGAUUGUAAGUCAGUGGUGAAAGCCCGUAGCUCAACUACGGAACUGCCAUUGAUACUGCAGACCUAGAGUACACUUGAAGUGGGCGGAAUGUGUCAUGUAGCGGUGAAAUGCUUAGAUAUGACACAGAACACCAAUUGCGAAGGCAGCUCACUAAAUUGUAACUGACGCUGAGGCUCGAUAGCGUGGGGAUCAAACAGGAUUAGAUACCCUGGUAGUCCACGCCGUAAACGAUGAUUACUCGAUGUUGGCGAUACACUGUCAGCGUCUGNGNGAAGACAUAAGUAAUACCACCUCGGGAGGUACGGUCGCGAAGACGUAGAACGUACAAACUAGAAGUAGACGGACGUGAGACGUUGCCGACGGACGACGACGAGGGGAGGGUUAGGGAG